AUUGAACGCUGGCGGCAUGCUUUACACAUGCAAGUCGAACGGUAACAGGCCGCAAGGUGCUGACGAGUGGCGAACGGGUGAGUAAUGCAUCGGAACGUGCCCAGUCGUGGGGGAUAACUACUCGAAAGAGUAGCUAGUACCGCAUACGAUCUAUGGAUGAAAGCGGGGGACCGUAAGGCCUCGCGCGAUUGGAGCGGCCGAUGUCAGAUUAGGUAGUUGGUGGGGUAAAGGCUCACCAAGCCAACGAUCUGUAGCUGGUCUGAGAGGACAACCAGCCACACUGGGACUGAGACACGGCCCAGACUCCUACGGGAGGCAGCAGUGGGGAAUUUUGGACAAUGGGCGCAAGCCUGAUCCAGCAAUGCCGCGUGCAGGAAGAAGGCCUUCGGGUUGUAAACUGCUUUUGUACGGAACGAAACGGCUCUGGUUAAUACCCGGGGCUAAUGACGGUACCGUACGAAUAAGCACCGGCUAACUACGUG
Molecule: ribosomal RNA, 482 nt
Filed under: uncultured bacterium
Lineage: Bacteria
Description: partial 16S ribosomal RNA
Rfam family: Bacterial small subunit ribosomal RNA
Source: RNAcentral